GACGAACGCUGGCGGCGUGCUUAACACAUGCAAGUCGAACGGAAAGGCCUGCUUUCCCUUGUGGAUUGCGGGUACUCGAGUGGCGAACGGGUGAGUAACACGUGAGUGAUCUGCCCCCAACUUGGGUAUAAGCCUGGGAAACUGGGUCUAAUUCCCGAUAGGACUGCAGGGUGGUGCCUGUGGUGGAAAACGAUUUUCUAGUGGUUGGGGAUGAGCUCGCGGCCUAUCAGCUUGUUGGUGGGGUAAUGGCCUACCAAGGCGGCGACGGGUAGCCGGCCUGAGGGGGUGGACGGCCACAUUGGGACUGAGAUACGGCCCAGACUCCUACGGGAGGCAGCCGUGGGGAAUAUUGCACGAUGGGCGGAAGCCUGAUGCAGCGACGCCGCGUGGGGGAUGACGGCCUUCGGGUUGUAAACUCCUUUCGACCGCGAGGAAGCCACCUGGUUGGAAGGGUGGUGACGGUAGUGGUAGAAGAAGCACCGGCUAACUACGUG
RNAcentral lists this ribosomal RNA (494 nucleotides) under uncultured bacterium. RNAcentral's name for it is "partial 16S ribosomal RNA". It matches the Rfam family "Bacterial small subunit ribosomal RNA", at positions 28 to 507 of the family's 1533-position model. The record is from RNAcentral.